Molecule: transfer RNA, 73 nt
Filed under: Bos taurus (domestic cattle)
Lineage: Eukaryota; Metazoa; Chordata; Mammalia; Artiodactyla; Bovidae
Also listed under: 2 other names
Rfam family: tRNA
About the family: Transfer RNA (tRNA) molecules are approximately 80 nucleotides in length. Their secondary structure includes four short double-helical elements and three loops (D, anti-codon, and T loops). Further hydrogen bonds mediate the characteristic L-shaped molecular structure. tRNAs have two regions of fundamental functional importance: the anti-codon, which is responsible for specific mRNA codon recognition, and the 3' end, to which the tRNAs corresponding amino acid is attached (by aminoacyl-tRNA synthetases). tRNAs cope with the degeneracy of the genetic code in two manners: having more than one tRNA (with a specific anti-codon) for a particular amino acid; and 'wobble' base-pairing, i.e. permitting non-standard base-pairing at the 3rd anti-codon position.
Source: Rfam by way of RNAcentral
UUCCUGGUGGUCCAGUGGUUAAGACUCUGCACUUCCAAUGCAGGGGGUGCUAGUUCCAUUCUUGGUCAGGAAC